This 450-nucleotide ribosomal RNA is filed under the name uncultured bacterium. Its description in RNAcentral is "partial 16S ribosomal RNA". It matches the Rfam family "Bacterial small subunit ribosomal RNA", at positions 354 to 796 of the family's 1533-position model. The record is from RNAcentral.
GUGGGGAAUAUUGGACAAUGGGCGAAAGCCUGAUCCAGCCAUGCCGCGUGUGUGAAGAAGGUCUUCGGAUUGUAAAGCACUUUAAGUUGGGAGGAAGGGCAGUAAGUUAAUACCUUGCUGUUUUGACGUUACCGACAGAAUAAGCACCGGCUAACUUCGUGCCAGCAGCCGCGGUAAUACGAAGGGUGCAAGCGUUAAUCGGAAUUACUGGGCGUAAAGCGCGCGUAGGUGGGUUUGUAAGUUGGAGGUGAAAUCCCCGGGCUCAACCUGGGAACUGCCUCCAAAACUGCAUGACUAGAGUACGGUAGAGGGUAGUGGAAUUUCCUGUGUAGCGGUGAAAUGCGUAGAUAUAGGAAGGAACACCAGUGGCGAAGGCGACUACCUGGACUGAUACUGACACUGAGGUGCGAAAGCGUGGGGAGCAAACAGGAUUAGAUACCCCUGUAGUCC